UGCGAACUUGGGAGAGAAAAUUCCGGAUGCUAAAGUUGUUAGAAAAAUUCUUCGGACUCUUCCUGAACGCUUUCGGGCAAAAGUUGCCGCUGUAAUAUACCGAAAAUUCGGAAAGUAAAGAUGUCGAACUUUAAUCAAAUUGACCAAAGUACGAGGACGGUACACUUCGGAAAGUCCGAAGGUGUUAAAAUGAUUAAAAGUGAGUUACGGGAGGUUUUCGAGAGCUAUAGAAUCAAAAUCUGCAUUCUGCAGUUUUGAGCUCUCGGGGACCGAUCCCUGGUGGGAGAGACCGGUCCCCGAACGCGUAUGGAAUGAGACAGCCGAAAAAUCGGCUAAGUCCUGAGAAAUUAGCUCUCGGGAACCGGUCCCUGCCUGAGAGACCGGUCCCCGAGAGACCGGUCCCCCAAAGAGAGACCGGUUGCCCUGCGCGCAACAGCUCUGGCUGCGCGGGGAGAGCCUUCGGGAACCGGUCCCUGAAGGAGAGACCGGUCCCCGCCUGCGCGAACUGCCCAGUUCGGGCAGUGUAUUAAAGUGAAAGUUGAGGGGUUUAUUUGCAAUUAUGCAACCCAAUAGCUAUGUUAUGAGGGCUAAUGAGAUUUUCUCUCAUUCUCACCCUCUCACACACUCUCUUCUCUCCCUCUCUCUCUCUAGAAGGCAAAGGAGAAGAAGAAGAAAGAAAGAAAGGAAGGAAAAGAAGGAAAAGAAGGUGAAGAAGAAGAUCAAGAGGUGAAGCAACUUCAUCUUCUUCCUCUCUAGUGCAAGAAAGGAAAGCUUAUAAGGUGAGCUUUGAACCCUAUUGUAGUAAAACCCUAAAAUGGGCUUUGAAUAAACCUAGAAAUGGUUUUAAUGGAUUGUUUAGAGUCUUUGAAGCUUUCUUUUUGCUUCUUUAGAGAUCAAAGCCAUGGUUUAGCUUGAGGUGAGCUUUGGCCACCUCUCAUGGUGAAAUCCAAACUAGGGUUUGGAAUGAGCUAGGAAUGGUUUAGAUGAACUCUUUAGAGUAUAUUGAAGCUACUUUUGCUUCCCAAUGAGAUCAAACCCUAGGUUUGAUAUAUGUAUUGGAGCUAGGGCACCAAAUUGGGGCUUUUGCUCAUGGGGAUUUCUAAGUGCAAUUGACCCUCUAGAAACCUAAUUGGGGGUAUUUCCGACGCGUUGGUGCGCUCGGAUUAACGUUACGAAAAGUCUAUAGAAAGAUAUGGGCAAAAUGGCCUAAGUUGGCUUCGUUUUGCCGCAGGUGAAGAACGAGGAGCCUAUAAAUCUCAAGAAAAUCGUCGGAGCACCUAAAUAGACCUACGAGGUGGGUGGUGCUUCUCAAACUCAUUGAACUUCUCUCUAUGCCUAAUGUGUCAUUCAAUUGAGCAUAUGUUACAUAAUUGUUGCAUGCAUUUUAGGGUAAAGUAAUGAUGAAAAUGUAAUGUUGCAUGAUUGUGAGUACAACUUGCAUAAUAUGAUGAAUGAGAACUAUGUAAACGUCGAAAACCCUAUGUGUAUGCAUGAGAGAAAAGUGAGCACCCAAAGUGAGCAAAAGAACAGAGUGACACAAUGACAUAGAUCGAGUGGCAUUUGAAAAUGUAAAGUAAAGAGACACUAGAGUUAGUGUGAUGCAAAGAACUAACGUGAUGUAAAGAAUGAUGAAAAUGACCAUGAGUAAGAUUAAAGUAAAGUGGGGCAAUAAGAACAAG
Molecule: long non-coding RNA, 1679 nt
Filed under: Ananas comosus (pineapple)
Lineage: Eukaryota; Viridiplantae; Streptophyta; Magnoliopsida; Poales; Bromeliaceae
Description: long non-coding RNA (ACOM_LNC043948)
Source: RNAcentral